UUCCGAUUUCCUCGGAUUUCUUUUGGUCGAUCCGGCCGAUUCCGGCAACGGUUUGACGUGUUUCAGAUGUCGUUUUCUCCACUUAUUUCCAUAUUGAAUGAAAACAAACUAUCUGGACCAAAUUAUGUUGACUGGAAACGAAACUCGGACAUAGUGCUCACCUCAGGUAGCUCCGGUUUGGGAGAAAUCGUCGAUUGAAGUUCCGGCCACCGUGAGCUUUCCGUGGUCGAUCCGAUCGAUUCCGGCGACGGUGUGACCCUGAUUUUGGUAUGUAUGAGUUCAUCUCUUCGAGGUCUUCAAUUUGGUGUAAGAUUUGACAGGUUUGGGUGGUUGGAUCACUGGCGGUAGUGUUGUCCAAGUUUCAGUCGAGUUGACUCGGUUGACUGGUGUGGUUGGAUCAUUGACCCGGUUUGGCAUUGUUUGACCAGUCUGGCCCAUUUGACUCGGUUUAACCCAUUUGACCCGGUUUGAUCGUCGACUUUGAUCGUUGACCAUAGUUGACCCAACGUAUUUUCACUAUAUUUUCGUAUAUCAUGUUUUUGGGUGUAGGCGGUGAUCCCGAUGGAGAUUCGAAGCAGGUUGACUUUCGCAGUCAGGGGUUAAUCAAGGACGCGUGCUUAGUGUUUGCAUCCUGAUUUCCAGGUAGGGGUUUCCGUGUCUCUCCCGUGUGAUUCUAGAGUUUCGGAUUCACAAACUCUUAUUAUAUUGUGGUUAUGUCGGUUUCCGGGGGUGGAAAUACAAUCUGUUUGUAUGUUUAUACGUAUUCUCUAUUGAUUAUCAUUGUUGGUAUGUUUUUAGAAGUGGGCUGAUUGGAGGAGAUUGCUAUAGAUUGUGGGGCCCAUUUAGGAGCCCAAUAUAUUGGAUUAUGAUGGAUAA
Tripterygium wilfordii is the source of this 876-nucleotide long non-coding RNA. RefSeq lists it as uncharacterized. NCBI's taxonomy places the organism in Eukaryota, Viridiplantae, Streptophyta, Magnoliopsida, Celastrales, Celastraceae. The transcript is spliced from 2 exons. The record is from RefSeq and is a predicted model, not a curated record.